RNAcentral lists this transfer RNA (67 nucleotides) under Halocynthia papillosa. Its description in RNAcentral is "transfer RNA-Ala". The record is from RNAcentral. Lineage: Eukaryota; Metazoa; Chordata; Ascidiacea; Stolidobranchia; Pyuridae.
GAGAUUUUAGCUUAAAAUAAAGUGUUUUAUUUUGCAGAUAAAAGAUAAUUUGAAAUAUUAAAUCUUA